This 447-nucleotide ribosomal RNA is filed under the name uncultured Bacteroidota bacterium. Its description in RNAcentral is "bacterial SSU rRNA". It matches the Rfam family "Bacterial small subunit ribosomal RNA", at positions 454 to 896 of the family's 1533-position model. The record is from RNAcentral. Lineage: Bacteria; Pseudomonadati; Bacteroidota.
GGGGCACGUGCAACCGGAUGAGAGUACUGUAUCUAUAAGGAUCGCCUCACUCCAUGCCAGCUGCCGCGGCAAUACUGAGGAUCCGAGCGUUAUCCGGUAAUUAUUGGGUUUAAAGGGUGCUCAGGCGGGUAUUAUCAGUCAGCUGUGAAAUUUUGCACCUCAACUGCAACAGUGCCUGUGAAACAGAUUAGCUAGGAUAUGGUCGCAGUGAGCGGAAUGAGUGGUGUAGCUGAUGAAAUAGCUUAGAUAUCACACAGAACACCAAUUGCUAAUGCAACACACUAAGUCAAUAUUGCCUCUGAAGCACGAAAGAGUGGAGAUCAAACAAGAUUACAUACCCUGGUAUUCCACACUGUAGACGAAUGAUAACUCCCUCCCGGCGAUACAUUUUCAGUGGCUAAUCGAAACCACUAAGUUAUCCACCUGGGGAGCUCGACCUCUAGGUUG